Molecule: ribosomal RNA, 252 nt
Filed under: uncultured bacterium
Lineage: Bacteria
Description: partial 16S ribosomal RNA
Rfam family: Bacterial small subunit ribosomal RNA
Source: RNAcentral
UACAGAGGUCCCAAGCGUUGUUCGGAUUCACUGGGCGUAAAGGGUGCGUAGGUGGCGGGGUAAGUCGGAUGUGAAAGCUCGGAGCUCAACUCCGAAAUGGCAUUGGAAACUACCUUGCUCGAGGGUUGGAGGGGGACUGGAAUUCUCGGUGUAGCAGUGAAAUGCGUAGAUAUCGAGAGGAACACCAGUGGCGAAGGCGAGUCCCUGGACAACUCCUGACACUGAGGCACGAAAGCUAGGGGAGCAAACAGG